GGGGAGUUGUUAAUUUUUUGUGGAACAUAUUGUAUUGUUUUCACUCAAGUUGUUGUAAUUCACUUUUAUCCUAGAUCGUGCAGCUCCAUAGGUGUUUUGAGUGUUUUGUAGUGAGAAAUCAUGUAAAUCGACAAACCAAGACAUCACGUGAAGGAUCAAGGAUAUGAAAUUGAAGACCAAUGGUUCUUAGAAGGUUGUUGAAGACAAUUCAAAGUGAAGACAAUUCAUUUCAAG
Molecule: long non-coding RNA, 234 nt
Filed under: Medicago truncatula (barrel medic)
Lineage: Eukaryota; Viridiplantae; Streptophyta; Magnoliopsida; Fabales; Fabaceae
Description: long non-coding RNA (MTRU_LNC001712)
Source: RNAcentral